RNAcentral lists this ribosomal RNA (207 nucleotides) under uncultured bacterium. Its description in RNAcentral is "partial 16S ribosomal RNA". It matches the Rfam family "Bacterial small subunit ribosomal RNA", at positions 568 to 774 of the family's 1533-position model. The record is from RNAcentral.
CUCGUAGGCGGUUUGAUAAGUCCUGUGUGAAAUCCCUUGGCUUAACCAAGGAACUGCGCCGGAUACUGUCGAACUAGAGGCCGGGAGAGGGAAGCGGAAUUCCGAGUGUAGCGGUGAAAUGCGUAGAUAUUCGGAGGAACACCGGUGGCGAAGGCGGCCUCCUGGACCGGUUCUGACGCUAAAGGGCGAAAGCUAGGGUAGCAAACA